This 253-nucleotide ribosomal RNA is filed under the name uncultured bacterium. Its description in RNAcentral is "partial 16S ribosomal RNA". It matches the Rfam family "Bacterial small subunit ribosomal RNA", at positions 524 to 776 of the family's 1533-position model. The record is from RNAcentral.
UACGUAGGGGGCGAGCGUUGUCCGGAUUUAUUGGGCGUAAAGAGCGUGUAGGCGGCCAGGUAGGUCUGCUGUGAAAACUCGAGGCUCAACCUCGAGACGUCGGCGGAAACCAUCUGGCUAGAGUCCGGAAGAGGAGAGUGGAAUUCCUGGUGUAGCGGUGAAAUGCGUAGAUAUCGGAAGGAACAUCAGUGGCGAAAGCGACUUCCUGGACCAAUACUGACGCUCAUGUGCGAAAGCGUGGGGAGCAAACAGG